GGAAUGUUCAUUGACGAAUUUGGAUAGACAAUAGAAGGAAAUACCAAUAAGUCACCUUGUAUACACAGAGAAAUAGUGCAACACAAAUUAUAACGAGGGAAAUCAACAUAAUUAGAAUGAUAAAAACAGAUCAGUACAAAAUUGUGCCAGACAUCUUUUUAGGUUAGGAAAAAGGAUAACCCAGAGAACUAGAUCAAAGCGAUUCUGACAAAAUUAUAAUGAACUAAAAAGGCUUACUCGACAAACUUUACAAUAUGUGAACUAAUUUGAUAAUUAAUAGAAGCAACCUCAAUAUAAUAAUAAUAAUAAUAAUA
RNAcentral lists this unclassified non-coding RNA (314 nucleotides) under Hevea brasiliensis (rubber tree). Lineage: Eukaryota; Viridiplantae; Streptophyta; Magnoliopsida; Malpighiales; Euphorbiaceae. The record is from RNAcentral.